UACGGGAGUGGCAAGCGUUAUCCGGAAUUAUUGGGCGUAAAGCGUCCGCAGGCGGUCUGUCAAGUCUGCUGUUAAAGCGUGGAGCUUAACUCCAUUAAGGCAGUGGAAACUGACAGACUAGAGUGUGGUAGGGGCAGAGGGAAUUCCCGGUGUAGCGGUGAAAUGCGUAGAUAUCGGGAAGAACACCAGUGGCGAAGGCGCUCUGCUGGGCCAUAACUGACGCUCAUGGACGAAAGCCAGGGGAGCGAAAGGGAUUAGAUACCCCUGUAGUCCUGGCCGUAAACGAUGAACACUAGGUGUCGGGGGAAUCGACCCCCUCGGUGUCGUAGCCAACGCGUUAAGUGUUCCGCCUGGGGAGUACGCACGCAAGUGUGAAACUCAAAGGAAUUGACGGGGGCCCGCACAAGCGGUGGAGUAUGUGGUUUAAUUCGAUGCAACGCGAAGAACCUUACCAGGGUUUGACAUCCUGCGAAUCUCUUGGAAACGAGAGAGUGCCUUCGGGAACGCAGUGACAGGUGGUGCAUGGCCGUCGUCAGCUCGUGUCGUGAGAUGUUGGGUUAAGUCCCGCAACGAGCGCAACCCACGUCGUUAGUUGCCAGCAUUUAGUUGGGCACUCUAGCGAGACCGCCGGUGAUAAACCGGAGGAAGGUGUGGAUGACGUCAAGUCAUCAUGCCCCUUACAUCCUGGGCUACACACGUACUACAAUGCUACGGACAAAGGGCAGCAAACUCGCGAGAGCUAGCAAAUCCCAUAAACCGUGGCUCAGUUCAGAUCGUAGGCUGCAACUCGCCUACGUGAAGGAGGAAUCGCUAGUAAUCGCAGGUCAGCAUACUGCGGUGAAUACGUUCCCGGGCCU
RNAcentral lists this ribosomal RNA (857 nucleotides) under uncultured bacterium. RNAcentral describes it as "SSU rRNA". It matches the Rfam family "Bacterial small subunit ribosomal RNA", at positions 524 to 1381 of the family's 1533-position model. The record is from RNAcentral.